RNA transcript from Sesamum indicum (sesame), 2800 nucleotides. It is a transcript of the gene named DNA double-strand break repair protein, with no coding region annotated. NCBI's taxonomy places the organism in Eukaryota, Viridiplantae, Streptophyta, Magnoliopsida, Lamiales, Pedaliaceae. The record is from RefSeq and is a predicted model, not a curated record.
GCAAACACGCUACCGAGACAAGGGUACGGCGUCGUCUUGGUUAACGUAAAUAUUUGUUUCAUUUGCUCUGUGAUUUUUUUCAAACCCUAUCGCUCAGUUUGUUUUCAUUUCGGACUAGUCCGCUGUUAGCACAUUACAUCUUCUUUCUCCUGGUAAAGUUUAGUAAGAUGGCCGGAAGAAAUCGGGUUCCUCGUGAAGCAUUUGAUCACCGGCGCGGCUAUCCAUUGGAGGGUCCUGUUCCUCGAGGUCCUCUGGCCCAUCCAAUGCCUCCGCAUCCUGCUAUAUUAGAGGAAGAACUUGAAAUCCGACAUGUUGAGCUUCGCAGGCUUCUGGGUGACAACCGGAGACUGGUUGAGGAUCGAAUUGCUUUGGAGCGAGAGCUAACCGCUGCAAAGGAAGAGUUGCGUAGGAUGAAUCUUGCCAUUGCUGAUAUGCGUGCUGAGCAAGAGCUCCAAACUAGGGAGCUUAUUGAAAGGGGCCUGAAGCUGGAGGCUGACCUUCGUGCGAUUGAGCCUCUUAAAAAUGAGGCCGCACAACUUCAUGCUGAGAUUCAGAGACUGAAUGCCAUUAGGCAGGAUCUAUCUGGGCAGUUUCAGACCCUCUCCCAAGACCUUGCGAAGUUGCGGGCUGAGAACCAGCAAAUUCCUGUUUUAAGGACCGAGAUUGAUGGGCUGCAUCAGGAAUUGUUGCGGGCUAGAAAUGCCAUUGACUAUGAAAAGAAUGCAAGCAUUGAGCUGAUGGAACAGAGACAGGUAAUGGAGAAGAACCUGGUAAGCAUGGCUCGUGAAGUUGAAAAGCUUCGUUCUGAGCUUGCAAAUUCUGGUGCUAGAGCAUGGAAUGCAGGUGGUCCCUAUGGGAUGUCGUUCAGCAAUCCUGAUGUUGGUUUUCCUGCUCCUUAUGGUGAUGGAUAUGGCAUUCGUCAGGGUGCUGUAGACAAGGGGCCUUCAUAUGGUUCAAGUUCUGCUCCUUGGGGAGGCCAUGAAAAACCGCGGAUGAGUCGUCGUUGAGCUGUGGAUCGAUAUGCACUAAACCUCGUAGGAGCGCACAUUGCAAUUCUUGUUUAAUCUGCUGCCCAAUAGAGUAACGGGCAGGAGACUAUGAUUUCAUGGGAAGCUGCUUUUACUGAUUCUCCCAGGGCAUGAGGUAAGUGGAUCAGGUAAAGUAUUCUGUCUCCAUGUUGUUUCAAAAGAGUGUGCAGGACUCUGUUUUCUUGAUCUGGAAUUAAGUAAACUAUUGCAGAACGAAGGUUCAUACAGACUCAGACAUUGAUGCCUGUGGGUUGUGAAAACUUUCACUGGGACUAAAUAUCAGUGUCCAGACAUGGUUUUUUGUCUGGCACCUGGUCACCCUGUUGGAACGUACUAUGAAAUAAUUUUUUCUUCUGGUUUGUGGCGAGCUGACGAACUGGUAAUUGGUAGGGCGACUUUUCAGAUGUUACCAACAUACUUUGAUCUCACUGGACAAAGCAUUUUGGGGCCAAAAAAUGUAAAUUGAAAGCAAAAACUGAGUAAAUACUUCUAAUGAUAGUAGCAAUAAUAAUAACGUAAUGAUGAUGAUGAUGAUGAUAAUUACACCGCCCCUCCACUGAGGUCUAGUGUAACUACACGUAGACUCCGUGAUUUGGGAAAUUACAUCUAGUACCCCUAACAUUUGUUUCCAUCAAACAGAUAGAUAUAAACGUUAGUUAAAAUUCAAAUUAUUUUUUCAUAUUAGCAAAAGUGUUGAAUAAAAAUCUAUAUUUAGUUUUAGUGGACUUAUUAGUGAUUUAUUACAAGUCAAAUAAUUCUUUUAUAACUAAACUACCUUCAAACAUCUUCACUGUUAAUGCAUGUGACGAGGUAUAUUUUAAGAAUAGUUUGGUCGAGGAAGAUUUUUCUUUGACCUUUAACAAGUCUUUAAGUCAAUUAGGAUAAAUAUGAAUUUUAAUUUAAUAUUUUUGCUGAUGUCUGCCAAUUAUAUGAAUUUUACUAACAAAUAGAUCUAUUUGUUGGAUAGAAGGAAACAUCAAAGGUACUAGGUGUAAUUUCUCAAGUCACAGGGAAUUUACGUGUAACUACACCAAACCUUAGGGGAGGAUGGUGUAAUCAUCCCUAAUUUUAACUUUUACUACUCUAAUUAUAAGAACAAAUGGAACUCAAGUUGCUUUAAGACCAAGGUAAAUUUUGUAAUUGAAUAGAAUCUAGGCUAGGAGAGUGUUUGUGACCUUGUAUGAAUAUGCAAAAUUUUUCAGGGGUUUUUUCUUCCUUUAUUCUGUAGAAAUUGGUUUUAUCAAUUGGAUUAUAUCAGCGAAUAUAAAUGAAAGCGGUACUAGUGUUUCACCUGUUGCUCCCCAAAGCCAUUUUAGCCAUUUUCAAAUUGCAUCUUAUUACAAUUCUAUUUAUUCUGCGCUCCCAAAAGCUUUACUCGCUUGUUUGUAUCUCUUUAUGAUUGCUCCUAUGACUAACUCCGAAUUGGUUGCAUGUGUUUGUAUAGCCGCAUCUUUAUUCUUUUGCUGUUAUCAAAAGAAAAAUACAGUGGUCUCAGAAGGACUAAUAGCUCGAAGCUACUUUUAGUUAGUAGUUCUUGACUGUGUUGCAUACGAUUUUUUGAUUUAGACUUCUAUUACUAGUUCUUCACAAAGUUCCGAAGAUUUUAUGGAUUCAUGUCUUGCUGAUACAUUUAAAGUUGUAUAUAAGGAAUCGGCUUGAUCUGUAGCUACUAGUGUUUAGGAUGUUGAAGAAUGUAUUGAUAUGUAAUAUGAUGGUUUAUUUGUUGCAAAAUAUGACUAUCUUGGUAUCUAUGAGCAUGAUUUUUUGUUAUA